This 254-nucleotide ribosomal RNA is filed under the name uncultured bacterium. RNAcentral describes it as "partial 16S ribosomal RNA". It matches the Rfam family "Bacterial small subunit ribosomal RNA", at positions 524 to 776 of the family's 1533-position model. The record is from RNAcentral.
CACGUAGGGGGCGAGCGUUGUCCGGAUUUAUUGGGCGUAAAGAGCUCGUAGGCGGCUUAGCAAGUCGGGUGUGAAAACUCCAGGCUCAACCUGGAGACGCCACUCGAGACUGCUAUGGCUAGAGUCCGGUAGGGGACCACGGAAUUCCUGGUGUAGCGGUGAAAUGCGCAGAUAUCAGGAGGAACACCGGUGGCGAAGGCGGUGGUCUGGGCCGGCACUGACGCUGAGGAGCGAAAGCGUGGGGAGCGAUCCGG